ACGGAAGGCAGCAGUGGGGAGUAUUGCACAAUGGGCGCAAGCCUGAUGCAGCGAUGCCGCGUGAGGGAAGAAGGUUUUCGGAUUGUAAACCUCUGUCAACAGGGAAGAAAAUGACGGUACCUGUGAAGGAAGCUCCGGCUAACUACGUGCCAGCAGCCGCGGUAAUACGUAGGGAGCAAGCGUUAUCCGGAAUUACUGGGUGUAAAGGGAGUGUAUGCGGGACUGUAAGUCAGAUGUGAAAUAUGCCGGCUCAACUGGCAGACUGCAGUUGAAACUGCGGUUCUUGAGUGAAGUAGAGGUAAGCGGAAUUCCUAGUGUAGCGGUGAAAUGCGUAGAUAUUAGGAGGAACAUCAGUGGCGAAGGCGGCUUACUGUGCUUUAACUGACGCUGAGGCUCGAAAGCGUGGGGAGCAAACAGGAUUAGAUACCCUGGUA
RNAcentral lists this ribosomal RNA (434 nucleotides) under uncultured Ruminococcus sp. RNAcentral's name for it is "partial 16S ribosomal RNA". It matches the Rfam family "Bacterial small subunit ribosomal RNA", at positions 341 to 792 of the family's 1533-position model. The record is from RNAcentral. Lineage: Bacteria; Bacillati; Bacillota; Clostridia; Eubacteriales; Oscillospiraceae.